ACAAAAAAGGCAAAAUUGUCGUAAGGCAGUGACGCAAAGCCACAGAUCCUGUUACAAUAACAGGAUGGCUGGGUUGCAG
Molecule: non-coding RNA, 79 nt
Filed under: human gut metagenome
Description: Cyclic di-GMP-I riboswitch
Rfam family: c-di-GMP-I riboswitch aptamer
About the family: GEMM was predicted in a large-scale screen for bacterial structured RNA regulatory elements. Genes associated with GEMM are involved in a diverse array of functions, including chemotaxis regulation, signal transduction, secretion and chitin.
Source: RNAcentral